RNAcentral lists this transfer RNA (72 nucleotides) under Armatimonadota bacterium. Its description in RNAcentral is "tRNA-Val". It matches the Rfam family "tRNA". Rfam says of the family: Transfer RNA (tRNA) molecules are approximately 80 nucleotides in length. Their secondary structure includes four short double-helical elements and three loops (D, anti-codon, and T loops). The record is from RNAcentral. Lineage: Bacteria; Bacillati; Armatimonadota.
GGGCGAUUAGCUCAGUGGGAGAGCGCCUCGUUCACACCGAGGAGGUCGGAGGUUCGAAACCUCCAUCGCCCA